GUGCGCAGGCUCAGAGAAGCUAGUGUUCCUGUCCCCCAGCCCCAGCUUUUCUUUCUCAUACUGCUGUUUUGCAGAGAUGUAGUCUCUCCUUGGUGUGAGGGACUCGCUCUUCCUGUGCAGUUCCUAACAGAGAUCAAGAGGUACUAAAAGAAUGUAUGGCAGUGGACAGAGGGCUGGAUGGGAUAAUUCAUUUGUACAGCUAGAACUGUUCCGAGUUAGGCCAAUGUCUUCAUUUUUCAAAUGGAAGAAAUGUAAGCCCAGAGGGAUGUGCUCUUCCAGGCUAGAUGUAUUUUACUGUGUUGUUCCGGGAACGAACCCUGGGCAUGACUGACAAGGAAGGGUUAGAUUGGUAAAAACCCACUAAACACAGAUAAUGUAACACCCCAGGGGGACUUACUAAGGCCUGUAAAAGAAAUCAGAGCAACAGAAGGCAGGGCUUCAGGCAUUAGGGCAAUCACAACUACAGGGAUGGGACGAGCAUAGCAUUUGUUGGGCAGUUGGUCUACACUAGGCAUGAAUGUCCACUCUUCUUGGCCCUGAGAAAGGUAUUGUUCCAGACAAAAGUGAUUGGGAAGUCGUUGCCCUCCCAGUCAGUCAGUUGCGGUGGUAGUAACUCACUGGCCAUAGACUAUGUGACAGAAGCUAACUAACAGCCUGUAGACUCAGAAGCUCAUUUAGUGGGGACCUUGGAGGUCUCAGCAUCUUAACACAGCCCACUUCCAGUUACCAAGAAAGUAGCAUGCCAAAUGAUCUGACGUUUCUACCUGUGAAAAGACAGUGAUUUGUCGCCACAUCCCGGAAUACCAGCAUCUGUAAACCUUCCCACAGGAGAGAUGCUGGCCUGCUACCAUCCACCAAGAUUUCUACAGAUAGACUCACAGCAUGCGCAGACUAGGCCUUGCUCUGAAGUCUCUCUUUCCCCAAUUCUUGUGCUGAUGCGCCUAGCCAAACAGGAGGCUUACUGUGCAGACAAGCUGGUACAGCAAGCACACUCUGAAGCCCACACCAGAGAAUACUGAUGGGAGUCAGGCGGUCCAGAUGCCAUCCAUCUGUAAGCCAGGAUCAUCCCCUGCCUCUGGUGUUUGUUAAUUUCUCAACAGAAGCCAACUUUGAGUUAAGGAUGUCUGUCAUGCUCAAAACUUACUCAGUUACCCAAAGUUUAAAGACGAGGAAUCCAGAGGAUGUUCUGUACCCAAAGACGGUGGCUGAGAAGUUGUGCCAAUUCCAACCCGCUCUGGUCAGCUGUACCCCUCCCUUGACACUAUUAACAGUAAUGAUGAAGAUGAACAACUGCUGAGGGCUUGCUGGAUGACAAGCAGAGUGCUUGGCACUUCCCAUGCUUCUUGAUGUAACCCCCACAGCAACACUGUGAGGUUGUCCUUACCCACAUUUACAUUUGCAGGUGAGGGUUGAAGUGCAAUCUGUAAGGAAACACAGCCAAGCCAGGUCAUAUGGUUACUAAGUACAAGAGCUGGCAUUCAGAGCAGUGUGGCUGCCUCUCUAAGAUCUUAACCAUCCCACUCCCGGGCUGAGCAAAGCAAGCACACGAGUAUAAAGAAAGGGCCAUUUGAGAGAAGUGAAGGAAAAAAACUGACUAAGGGCUUGCAGUGAUGAACAGGGAGUGUGCCAGCAGAAGGCAUUUGGAGACUGUGUGGGAGAUUACUACGCGAUGUUAGGGGCUUACAGCAGUUGCUUCAUUUAUAAUGUGAGCAAGCCCUGGGGCUGAGACCAAGUACAGAAACUGAGUGAGGUAUGUGGGGGUGAGGGUGCAGAGCAGGAUCAUUACUAUGGAGAUGAUAAUCAAAGUUUACCAAUCCCACACUCCAGAAGCCAGAGACCACUGAGAUGUGACACGGCAUGGAAGAAUGCUGGCCCUGGGUUGGAAUCGGAUUCUAGUCCAGUCUCUGCCAUUGAUUAGCUGUGUAACUUGGAUGGAGUCAUUUCAGUUUCUGAACCUGUUUCCUCUAUUGCACAAUGGGGGUUACAACUUCUAAACCUCAAGCUGUAAUGUGUAAUAAGACGAGCAAAGCCGCCUUAAAGUGAAGCUAAGAAUCCAGGCCUUUCUCCAGGUGUUCCUUCUACUUCCUCCCUGCAUAUUGUUAUCUUCUGUCAGCACAUAACUUUUGGCAAAGAACAAGCUUUCGAUCGGGUUUCAGGCUAUGGAACACCCAAAGAAGCCAUUGCUCUAAGGGAAUUAUUUUCAAGUCUCUAAAUAAAUAAUAUGACCAUGUCUGAUUCUUACACAUACCUCACAUGGACAUUAGUGUACCUUCCUAUUUGAGUUUGAUUCUCAAUCAAGAAAAAAAAAUACUACUUAACACAACGAAAAGGUGGUUAUAUUAUUAUGGACAUUGGAAAAGGGGCUUAUGGAUUUCUCCCACCAUUUCCGACUUGACACUUCCUCCAAAGCCAACUAUAGAGUUCACUUUGAAAGUGGUAACAGAAAAGGAAAAGUAUUCUGCUAGGGGGCUGGGUGGGGGCAGGUAGAAGAAGCCACAUGACAAUUUUUCCAGUCCUGCUUAAGUAGCAUCAAUGCCUCUGUGAGAGAACUUCAAGAGGGUGAGGAACUAAUAGUAACAUAAGGAGCUGGACUUGUCAGGUUGGUCGGGUACCUUCUGUGUCUGGGACCUGCAUCUGCAAACGAGUAAACAGUGCAUGGUCUCUACUUUUAAAGCGAGUCAGGAUGGGGAUGUGUUAGAUCAGAUGUCUUCUUCCUCUCCAAAUAACCAAAUUAAAGUGCAGGGAUCUGAAGCAGAGCAAACUUGCAAAACAUGUUUUAGCCCAUUCUGGUUGCUGUAACAAAAUACUGCAAACUGGGUAACUUAUGAACAAGAGAAGUUUAUUCCUCACAGUUCCAAAGGCUGGAAUAUCUGCCUUCAAGUUGCCAAUAGAUUUGGUGAAUGAGAAUCUAAAGGAUGAAAAGUCAACUUGAAGGUUGUUCUAAUUUGCAUCUACUUAGUUAUUUGUGCUAGUCAACAUUUUAUCAUCUUUUGAUGAGUAGACAUUUGCCUAUUUAAAAGCUAGAUUGCUGUGUAUAAGCUAAACCCUAUAGCAGCAUUAGUCAAGCCUAAAAGGGACAAGGGGGACCAUCCAGCCCCUGUCACAGGAGGAGGCCAAAGGCACAUUCUAUACUAUCAAUAUCACUGGGUGAAUAAAGAGUGCCACACAACAGGGUCAAGUCAGUCAUCUAGACAGGUGUCUAGAAGACACGUGGAGGAAGUUAUCUUUCAACCAAAACCCAGAGGGACAUUUCAGAGUUAAAGGGCCAGAGGAGGUGGGACAAAUCAUUCCCAGAGGGACUCAGAGGAAUGCAAGGCUCCAAGAUGUUAAGUGACAGGAAAUUGAGGUGAAAAUAGUGUAGGAUGGUGGGGAGGGGGUGGAGACAGGGGGAUGAAGGGAAAGGUGGAUGAUUAUUGACUUCUCAGUUUGUCUAGUACCAAGAGAAAAACAAGACAGCAGCUGAAAACUCAGGGAAGUCCCUUCCUAACCUAGAUGGUCACCAUGUGUCUUCAAUGCUGCUCUACAGACCUGCUAAGGAUUGGGGACUUUCUCUAGGCUUCAAGGACAAGUUUCCUGCAUAGUUCCAGUUUCACGUUCAGUGCUGUGGAGUCUAUGAAGGAUGUGAAGGCGGAAGCGGGCAGUGUGGCAAGAGCAGAGAUUAGACAUCAGCUGGGUGGCACUUUGUAGCAUGAUAAGCCAGUGGCAGAGUCCCCAUCAUAUGCAAACCCAGGAGGGACCAAGACACCUACUCAUCAGGGGCUGUCUUUUCUCUCUGUGGUGGCACCGGACCUUCUGUCCUUGCCCUAUUGGAGCUGUGGCAUGCCUUAGAGAGCCUGCCUCUCUCCUUCCACACCAGCCCCAACCCCAUGCUAGGCCAGGCCAUCCUGAGAACCCCUUCUCUCUCCUAAUGAUGCUGCCUUAGCAGGGUCACUGACAACACAGAGGUCAGCAUGACUACUUUGGGAGCUGUAGCUUUCUGAGGAGUAAGAGGCACCCUGUCAGGAUGGUGUCCAGUGGAAGAAGCUAAAGAGAGUUUAGAAUUCACUCUGUGAAGCCAGCACCUGGGAACUAUCCAGAGGUCUCCUUCAAGAAACUGUUUGAUAUCUAUGUCCACAGUUGGAGAGUGAUCUGGGACAGAUAUAAUUUUGGACAACUCACCUUUACAAAGCUGAAACUAAAAGUCACUGAAGAAGAUCAGAAUAUCCAUGGUAUAGAGGAAAGUUGGAUUAUAACAAUAACUCCACUAACUAAAAGAAAAGUUAAAGGAAAAUAGUUUACAAUCAAAGCACACUAUGUAGUUGUAUGAGAAUGCCACAUCGUUUUAUACAAUAAAUUUUAUACAUUUUUACAAUAAAUAUACAGGCUAAAGUCAAAAUUAA
Non-coding RNA from Cricetulus griseus (Chinese hamster), 4379 nucleotides. Lineage: Eukaryota; Metazoa; Chordata; Mammalia; Rodentia; Cricetidae. The record is from RefSeq and is a predicted model, not a curated record.